Molecule: ribosomal RNA, 253 nt
Filed under: uncultured bacterium
Lineage: Bacteria
Description: partial 16S ribosomal RNA
Rfam family: Bacterial small subunit ribosomal RNA
Source: RNAcentral
UACGUAGGGUGCGAGCGUUAAUCGGAAUUACUGGGCGUAAAGCGUGCGCAGGCGGUUCGCCAAGUCAGGUGUGAAAUCCCCGGGCUUAACCUGGGAAUUGCGCUUGAAACUAGGGGGCUUGAGUGUGGCAGAGGGGGGUGGAAUUCCACGUGUAGCAGUGAAAUGCGUAGAGAUGUGGAGGAACACCGAUGGCGAAGGCAGCCCCCUGGGUCAACACUGACGCUCAUGCACGAAAGCGUGGGGAGCAAACAGG